This 454-nucleotide ribosomal RNA is filed under the name uncultured bacterium. RNAcentral's name for it is "bacterial SSU rRNA". It matches the Rfam family "Bacterial small subunit ribosomal RNA", at positions 30 to 482 of the family's 1533-position model. The record is from RNAcentral.
AUUGAACGCUGGCGGCAUGCUUUACACAUGCAAGUCGAACGGCAGCACGGGUGCUUGCACCUGGUGGCGAGUGGCGGACGGGUGAGUAAUACAUCGGAACGUGUCCAGAAGAGGGGGAUAACGCAUCGAAAGAUGUGCUAAUACCGCAUAUGCUCUGAGGAGGAAAGUAGGGGAUCGAAAGACCUUACGCUUUUGGAGCGGCCGAUGUCUGAUUAGCUAGUUGGUGGGGUAAGGGCCUACCAAGGCGACGAUCAGUAGUUGGUCUGAGAGGACGACCAGCCACACUGGGACUGAGACACGGCCCAGACUCCUACGGGAGGCAGCAGUGGGGGAAUUUUGGACAAUGGGCGCAAGCCUGAUCCAGCAAUGCCGCGUGAGUGAAGAAGGCCUUCGGUUGUAAGACGUCUUUCUAGUCGAGAAGAAAAGGACGUAGCAGUGAAUAACUAGUAGUUUA